CCUACGGGUGGCAGCAGUGAGGAAUAUUGGUCAAUGGGCGUAAGCCUGAACCAGCCAAGUCGCGUGAGGGAUGAAUGUUCUAUGGAUCGUAAACCUCUUUUAUAAGGGAAUAAAGUGUGGGACGUGUCCUAUUUUGUAUGUACCUUAUGAAUAAGGAUCGGCUAACUCCGUGCCAGCAGCCGCGGUAAUACGGAGGAUCCGAGCGUUAUCCGGAUUUAUUGGGUUUAAAGGGUGCGUAGGGGGCUUGUUAAGUCAGUGGGGAAAGUUUGUGGCUCAACCAUAGAAUUGCCGUUGAAACUGGGAGGAUUGAGUAUGUUAGAGGUAGGCGGAAUGCGUGGUGUAGCGGUGAAAUGCUUAGAUAUCACGAAGAACCCCGAUUGCGAAGGCAGCUCGCUGGGCUGUGACUGACGCUGAGGCACGAAAGCGUGGGGAUCAAACAGGAUUAGAUACCCCAGUAGUC
RNAcentral lists this ribosomal RNA (460 nucleotides) under uncultured bacterium. RNAcentral describes it as "partial 16S ribosomal RNA". It matches the Rfam family "Bacterial small subunit ribosomal RNA", at positions 338 to 795 of the family's 1533-position model. The record is from RNAcentral.